GACGAACGCUGGCGGCGUGCUUAACACAUGCAAGUCGAACGGAAAGGCCCUGCUUUUGUGAGGUGCUCGAGUGGCGAACGGGUGAGUAACACGUGAGUAACCUGCCCUUGACUUUGGGAUAACUUCAGGAAACUGGGGCUAAUACCGGAUAGGAGCUCCUGCUGCAUGGUGGGGGUUGGAAAGUUUCGGCGGUUGGGGAUGGACUCGCGGCUUAUCAGCUUGUUGGUGGGGUAGUGGCUUACCAAGGCUUUGACGGGUAGCCGGCCUGAGAGGGUGACCGGCCACAUUGGGACUGAGAUACGGCCCAGACUCCUACGGGAGGCAGCAGUGGGGAAUAUUGCACAAUGGGCGGAAGCCUGAUGCAGCAACGCCGCGUGCGGGAUGACGGCCUUCGGGUUGUAAACCGCUUUCGCCUGUGACGAAGCGUGAGUGACGGUAAUGGGGAAAGAAGCACCGGCUAACUACGU
This 467-nucleotide ribosomal RNA is filed under the name uncultured bacterium. RNAcentral describes it as "partial 16S ribosomal RNA". It matches the Rfam family "Bacterial small subunit ribosomal RNA", at positions 28 to 506 of the family's 1533-position model. The record is from RNAcentral.